RNAcentral lists this ribosomal RNA (483 nucleotides) under uncultured bacterium. RNAcentral describes it as "partial 16S ribosomal RNA". It matches the Rfam family "Bacterial small subunit ribosomal RNA", at positions 28 to 507 of the family's 1533-position model. The record is from RNAcentral.
GACGAACGCUGGCGGCGUGCUUAACACAUGCAAGUCGAACGAUGAAGCGGGUGCUUGCACUCGUGGAUUAGUGGCGAACGGGCGAGUAACACGUGAGUAACCUGUCCUUUUCUUUGGGAUAACGGCUGGAAACGGCUGCUAAUACUGGAUAUUCAGGCUGCAUCGCAUGGUGUGGUUUGGAAAGGUUUUUUCUGGGAUUGGGUGGGCUCGCGGCCUAUCAGCUUGUUGGUGGGGUGAUGGCUUACCAAGGCUUUGACGGGUAGCCGGCCUGAGAGGGUGGUCGGUCGCACUGGGACUGAGAUACGGCCCAGACUCCUACGGGAGGCAGCAGUGGGGUAUAUUGCACAAUGGACGAAAGUUUGAUGCAGCGACGCCGCGUGGAGGGUGUAGGCCUUCGGGUUGUGAACUCCUUUUUCUCGCGAAAAAGGCACAGUUUUGGCUGUGUUGAUGGUAGUGGGGGAAGAAGCGCCGGCUAACUACGUG